This 391-nucleotide ribosomal RNA is filed under the name uncultured Bicosoecida. Its description in RNAcentral is "partial small subunit ribosomal RNA". It matches the Rfam family "Eukaryotic small subunit ribosomal RNA", at positions 30 to 432 of the family's 1831-position model. Lineage: Eukaryota; Bigyra; Bicosoecida. The record is from RNAcentral.
GCUUGUCUCAAAGAUUAAGCCAUGCAUGUCUAAGUGUAAAUACGUCUACACUGUGAAACUGCGAAUGGCUCAUUAAAUCAGUUAUCGUUUAUUUGAUGAUCUCUUGUUACAUGGAUAACCGUAGUAAUUCUAGAGCUAAUACAUGCACACAGCCCCGACUCAAGAAGGGGCGCAUUUGUUAGAUACAACCAGCCCUUCGGGUCUUUGGUGAAUCAUAACAACUGAGCGAACCGCAUGCGCGAGCGGCGGUGGUUCAUUCAAGUUUCUGCCCUAUCAGCUUUCGAUGGUAGGGUAUUGGCCUACCAUGGCGCUAACGGGUAACGGAGAAUUAGGGUUCGAUUCCGGAGAGGGAGCCUGAGAGAUGGCUACCACAUCCAAGGAAGGCAGCAGG